Molecule: ribosomal RNA, 166 nt
Filed under: uncultured bacterium
Lineage: Bacteria
Description: partial 16S rRNA
Rfam family: Bacterial small subunit ribosomal RNA
Source: RNAcentral
UAGGGAAUCUUCGGCAAUGGGGGCAACCCCUGACCGAGCAACGCCGCGUGAGUGAAGAAGGUUUUCGGAUCGUAAAGCUCUGUUGUAAGAGAAGAACGUGUGUGAGAGUGGAAAGUUCACACAGUGACGGUAACUUACCAGAAAGGGACGGCUAACUACGCGCCAG